Molecule: ribosomal RNA, 406 nt
Filed under: uncultured bacterium
Lineage: Bacteria
Description: partial 16S ribosomal RNA
Rfam family: Bacterial small subunit ribosomal RNA
Source: RNAcentral
AUUGAACGCUGGCGGCAGGCCUAACACAUGCAAGUCGAACGAGAGGCGGACGGGUGAGUAAUGUCUGGGAAACUGCCCGAUGGAGGGGGAUAAAUACUGGAAACUGUAGCUAAAACCCCAUACACUAGGAUGGGCCCAGAUGGGAUUAGCUAGUAGGUGGGGUAAAGGCUCACCUAGGCGACGAUCCCUAGCUGGUCUGAGAGGAUGACCAGCCACACUGGAACUGAGACACGGUCCAGACUCCUACGGGAGGCAGCAGUGGGGAAUAUUGCACAAUGGGCGCAAGCCUGAUGCAGCCAUGCCGCGUGUAUGAAGAAGGCCUUCGGGUUGUAAAGUACUUUCAGCGAGGAGGCGUUACUCGCAGAAGAAGCACCGGCUAACUCCGUGCCAGCAGCCGCGGUAAUAC